GACGAACGCUGGCGGCGUGCUUAACACAUGCAAGUCGAACGGAAAGGCCCUUCUUUUGUUGGGUGCUCGAUUGGCGAUCGGGUGUGUAACACGUGUGUAACCUGCCCUUGACUUUGGGAUAUCUUCAGGAAACUGGGGCUAAUACCUCAUCGGAUCUCCUGCUGCAUGGUGGGGGUUGGUAAGUUUCGGCGGUUGGGGAUGGACUCGCGGCUUAUCCGCUUGUUUGUGGGGUAGUGGCUUACCAAGGCUUUGACGGGUAUCCGGCCUGAGAGGGUGACCGGCGACAAGGGGACUGAGAGACGGCCCAGAAGGGAACGGGAGGCAGCAGGGGGGAAGAGUGCAAAAUGGGAGGAAGCGAGAGGCAGAAAAGGAGCGAGCGGGAAGAAGGGAGACGGGGAGAAAAAAGAUGUAGAAGAAGAAGAAGAGGGAGUGACGGUAAUGGGUAAAGAAGCAACGGCUAACUACGUG
Molecule: ribosomal RNA, 468 nt
Filed under: uncultured bacterium
Lineage: Bacteria
Description: partial 16S ribosomal RNA
Rfam family: Bacterial small subunit ribosomal RNA
Source: RNAcentral